UUUUUGGCAUGAGUGAUGAAUGUACUUGGUAAAAUUCAAAACUGCAAAAUACAAGUUAAAGAUAGCAUCUACAAAUCUUGACUUAAUGGAUAUCAAUUAUAAUAUGGACUAAGAAAAAAGGAAGAUCAAAACUUAGCUCAAAUUAUCAUAAGUUCAUUCCGAGUUUGAAUUAAGUUUGAAAAGCCCAUAUCAAACCCAUAUCGACUUUGGCUCUGGUGGAAGUGCACUGUAAGUUUGAGAUACCUUUAUUGUGCUAUUGUUCUCUUGUUGGCGCCGGCAGCAUAUGCUUUAGCCAAAAAGGAUGUAAUUUACUUGUGCUAUUGUUCUCUAUUUGUACGUCCUUGCAAAUGCAUAGUCAUAUAACAUAUAGGUACUGGCCUAAUAGGUACUGCCUGCCAUGAUGAGUACUUGCAUAGAAGGUACAUCAGAGCUCAAUACCUAGUGUGAUUAUAUGAGGUUUGGUAACUACACGCUGCUGUGAAGUGCAUGUUCUCUUCUUAAAUUCGGGACUACACUAUUGCAUGAUUAGGUAGAACAAUUAUAUCUGUGACUGUGACUAUAAAAGGCAACAAAAAGGCUCAAGGGUGUGCUAUGCAGCAGACGCUAGAGGGGCAGGCAAGGACAUGGGACGAGCCGACGAAGGAGAUAACAGAUGGGAAUGGCUCAGGCCUUAUAGAUUAGGAUUGGCAGGCAUUAGGAACUCUGUUAUAUUAUUUGCGCUGUUGCUUCAUACCAGUGUACCUAUUCAACCUGGUGAAGGGUGCAAGAAUUCUGCGAUAACCAAGAAAAGAAUGGACAAAAUUUGAUAUGUGUUUAGGAGCCGAAAAUAAUCAUGAGCCAAGUUGAAUUGACCUUUUGCCCGCAGGCAUAUCCUCCUCACUGAAAUCAAAGGUCACUGGUACACAUGCAGAUGUCUCCUCAUCAGCAGAAUCAAAGAACAUUGGUAAAAAUGGGUAGGCAAUGCGCAGCACGGUGGAAUACUGUGCAUGGUGGAUUACGCAUAGCCGAUUGUAAUCAUCCAAUUCAACUCAAGAAUGAAACACACAAGCAAUUCUUAUCUCAGCAUGACCAACGUCAAGCUUUGCAAGAAUAUUGGAAAAUUUAAUGACAACUAUUUUCAUGUUUCAGUUCCAUAUGCCAAAUGACUUUGCUUUUCAUAGGUUGGCCUGUGAACAUGAGCAACUGUUAGCAUUUUUGUGCAACCAAGACUUCCCUAGCAAGUCAAAGUGGUUCAGUAAGGUCCAGACUCCAGAGUAACGACGAAGUGUGACUCAUUUCAAUGCGCCUUUGGUAGGAAGGGCCACCAUACGAACAAGCAACAGGUAGGGGCGAAAGCUGCCUAUGCUAUCGGGUGCUAAUGCACCCCCGGCAAAAAAAAUUUUAAGUGCUAACAAUCUCAAAUUACCACACGUGCACCCCCUCAGCCAAGGUUCAUGCACCCCCCAACUGCCCAACGUGGAAUAGUGGAACACUGGAAGCGUGAAAGAGUUUUUACUAGACCAACGCCAAUAAUCACAAGCCGUGGCAUAUAAGUUUUAAGCCGUGGCAUAUAAGUUUUACAAAUUACUGCUCGCUUGCUAAAUGGCUCAGUUAUAGGAAUAGAUAUGAAUAAGUGUACUCAUUUUUGUCAAACUAUAAAAUUCUAUAAGAGUUUAGUAUUUCGAAUUAGUUGAGCAUAGUGGUAUGUCAUUUGGGUUACUAGAUUGUCUGAUUGAUAUGUAAAAAUAUAUAAUU
Molecule: long non-coding RNA, 1734 nt
Filed under: Sorghum bicolor (sorghum)
Lineage: Eukaryota; Viridiplantae; Streptophyta; Magnoliopsida; Poales; Poaceae
Description: long non-coding RNA (SBIC_LNC011184)
Source: RNAcentral